RNAcentral lists this ribosomal RNA (301 nucleotides) under uncultured bacterium. RNAcentral describes it as "partial 16S ribosomal RNA". It matches the Rfam family "Bacterial small subunit ribosomal RNA", at positions 509 to 807 of the family's 1533-position model. The record is from RNAcentral.
CAGUAGCCGCGGUAAUGCGUAGGGUGCGAGCGUUAAUCGGAAUUACUGGGCGUAAAGCGUGCGCAGGCGGUUUUGUAAGACAGGCGUGAAAUCCCCGGGCUCAACCUGGGAAUGGCGCUUGUGACUGCAAAGCUAGAGUGCGGCAGAGGGGGAUGGAAUUCCGCGUGUAGCAGUGAAAUGCGUAGAUAUGCGGAGGAACACCGAUGGCGAAGGCAAUCCCCUGGGCCUGCACUGACGCUCAUGCACGAAAGCGUGGGGAGCAAACAGGAUUAGAUACCCCCGUAGUCCCUGUCUCUUAUAC